RNAcentral lists this ribosomal RNA (473 nucleotides) under uncultured bacterium. Its description in RNAcentral is "bacterial SSU rRNA". It matches the Rfam family "Bacterial small subunit ribosomal RNA", at positions 8 to 526 of the family's 1533-position model. The record is from RNAcentral.
AGAGUUCGAUCAUGGCUCAGAAUGAACGCUGGCGGCACGCUUAACACAUGCAAGUCGAACGAGAUCUUCGGAUCUAGUGGCAGACGGGUGAGUAACGCGUGGGAACCUGCCCUAUAGUAGAGAAUAACUCGAGGAAACUCGAGCUAAUACUUUAUACGCCCUUUGGGGGAAAGCUUUAUGCGCUAUUGGAUGGGCCCGCGUUAGAUUAGUUUGUUGGUGAGGUAACGGCUCACCAAGGCUACGAUCUAUAGCUGGUCUGAGAGGAUGAUCAGCCACACUGGGACUGAGACACGGCCCAGACUCCUACGGGAGGCAGCAGUGGGGAAUAUUGGACAAUGGGGGCAACCCUGAUCCAGCGAUGCCGCGUGAGUGAUGAAGGCCCUAGGGUUGUAAAGCUCUUUUGUCAGGGAAGAUAAUGACGGUACCUGAAGAAUAAGAUCCGGCUAACUCCGUGCCAGCCGCCGCGGUAAUUC